GGGGAUGUAGCUCAGUGGCAGAGUACUUACUUUGAAUGCAUGAGGCACUCACUGGGUUCAAUCCCAGUACCCCUC
Molecule: transfer RNA, 75 nt
Filed under: Fukomys damarensis (Damara mole-rat)
Lineage: Eukaryota; Metazoa; Chordata; Mammalia; Rodentia; Bathyergidae
Rfam family: tRNA
About the family: Transfer RNA (tRNA) molecules are approximately 80 nucleotides in length. Their secondary structure includes four short double-helical elements and three loops (D, anti-codon, and T loops). Further hydrogen bonds mediate the characteristic L-shaped molecular structure. tRNAs have two regions of fundamental functional importance: the anti-codon, which is responsible for specific mRNA codon recognition, and the 3' end, to which the tRNAs corresponding amino acid is attached (by aminoacyl-tRNA synthetases). tRNAs cope with the degeneracy of the genetic code in two manners: having more than one tRNA (with a specific anti-codon) for a particular amino acid; and 'wobble' base-pairing, i.e. permitting non-standard base-pairing at the 3rd anti-codon position.
Source: Rfam by way of RNAcentral